This 201-nucleotide long non-coding RNA is filed under the name Elaeis guineensis (African oil palm). Its description in RNAcentral is "long non-coding RNA (EGUI_LNC021346)". The record is from RNAcentral. Lineage: Eukaryota; Viridiplantae; Streptophyta; Magnoliopsida; Arecales; Arecaceae.
ACAUCCGUUGGUCUCCUAUGAAGAGAUGAAACUCACUAAUUUCAUUAAAAGAUGCAUGAAUUAUUCAAGAGACGGAUGGCCAUCCAACUAUACUGUCAACUAUUCAAGCAAUAAAUAUAAUUACCAUAUCCUUGAGAUGGAAUGUAACCGUAUCAUCUCAAAUAAACUCCCAAUGAGCAUAGCUGGUGUAGGUGUGACCCA